RNAcentral lists this ribosomal RNA (402 nucleotides) under uncultured bacterium. RNAcentral describes it as "bacterial SSU rRNA". It matches the Rfam family "Bacterial small subunit ribosomal RNA", at positions 358 to 774 of the family's 1533-position model. The record is from RNAcentral.
GGAAUAUUGGGCAAUGGGCGCAAGCCUGACCCAGCAACGCCGCGUGAAGGAAGAAGGCCCUCGGGUUGUAAACUUCUUUUAUCAAGGACGAAACAAAUGACGGUACUUGAUGAAUAAGCCACGGCUAACUACGUGCCAGCAGCCGCGGUAAUACGUAGGUGGCAAGCGUUAUCCGGAUUUACUGGGUGUAAAGGGCGGGUAGGCGGGACUGCAAGUCAGAUGUGAAAACCAUGGGCUCAACCCAUGGCCUGCAUUUGAAACUGUAGUUCUUGAGUGUUGGAGAGGCAGGCGGAAUUCCGUGUGUAGCGGUGAAAUGCGUAGAUAUACGGAGGAACACCAGUGGCGAAGGCGGCCUGCUGGACAAUAACUGACGCUGAGGCGCGAAAGCGUGGGGAGCAAACA